UGCCCUUUUUAUUUAUUUGCGUUGUGGCUUUUUAUUUGCGUUGUCGCCUUUUCUUUACUUGCGUUGUGACUUUUUUUACUUGCGUUGUGACUCUUUUUUUUACUUGUGUCGUGACUUUUUUACUUGCGUUGUGACUUUUUUAUUUGCGUUGUGACUUUUUUUACUUGCGUUGUUAGUUUUUUUAUUUGCGUUGUGACUUUUUUAUUUGCGUUGUGAGUUUUUUUAUUUGCGUUGUGACUUUUUUAUUUGCGUUGUGAUUAUUUUUGUUUGCGUUGUGACUUUUUUAUUUAUGCGUUGUGAGUUUUUUAUUUGCGUUGUGAUUAUUUUUGUUUGCGUUGUGACUUUUUUACUUGCGUUGUGACUUUUUUAUUUGCGUUGUGAUUAUUUUUGUUUGCGUGGUGACUUUUUUACUUGCGUUGUGACUUUUUUUUAUUUGCGUUGUGACUUUUUUAUUUACGUUGCGAUUAUUUUUGUUUGCGUUGUGUCUUUUUUACUUGCGUUGUGACAUUUUUAUUUGCGUUGUGAUUAUUUUUGUUUGCGUUGUGUCUUUUUUACUUGCGUUGUGACAUUUUUAUUUGCGUUGUGUCUUUUUACUUGCGUUGUGACUUUUUUAUUUGCGUUGUGACAUUUUU
This is a non-coding RNA of Paramuricea clavata, 632 nucleotides long. The record is from the annotation of a GenBank genome assembly. Lineage: Eukaryota; Metazoa; Cnidaria; Anthozoa; Malacalcyonacea; Plexauridae.